This 140-nucleotide ribosomal RNA is filed under the name uncultured eukaryote. Its description in RNAcentral is "partial 18S ribosomal RNA". It matches the Rfam family "Eukaryotic small subunit ribosomal RNA", at positions 1299 to 1458 of the family's 1831-position model. The record is from RNAcentral.
UGGUGGAGUGAUUUGUCUGCUUAAUUGCGAUAACGAACGAGACCUUAACCUGCUAACUAGCGACGUGAACCGCAUGGUUGACGGCCCGCUUCUUAGAGGGACUGUCGGCGACUAGUCGACGGAAGUUUGAGGCAAUAACA